AAUCAACGCUGGCGGCGUGCCUAACACAUGCAAGUCGAACGCGAAAGUCCCGCAAGGGAUAAGUAGAGUGGCAAACGGGUGAGUAACACGUGGGUGACCUGCCUUCGAGCGGGGGAUAACGUCCCGAAAGGGACGCUAAUACCGCAUGACAUCCUGCCUUUGAAGAGGUGGAGAUCAAAGCUGGGGGAUCGCAAGACCUAGCACUCGAAGAGGGGCCCGCGCCUGAUAGCUAGUUGGUGGGGUAAUGGCUCACCAAGGCAACGAUCAGUAGCCGGCCUGAGAGGGCGGACGGCCACACUGGGACUGAGACACGGCCCAGACUCCUACGGGAGGCAGCAGUGGGGAAUUGUUCGCAAUGGGCGCAAGUCUGACGACGCAACGCCGCGUGGAGGACGAAGACCUCGGUCGU
RNAcentral lists this ribosomal RNA (409 nucleotides) under uncultured bacterium. RNAcentral describes it as "bacterial SSU rRNA". It matches the Rfam family "Bacterial small subunit ribosomal RNA", at positions 29 to 426 of the family's 1533-position model. The record is from RNAcentral.